Molecule: ribosomal RNA, 406 nt
Filed under: uncultured bacterium
Lineage: Bacteria
Description: partial 16S ribosomal RNA
Rfam family: Bacterial small subunit ribosomal RNA
Source: RNAcentral
AUUGAACGCUGGCGGCAGGCCUAACACAUGCAAGUCGAACGAGUGGCGGACGGGUGAGUAAUGUCUGGGAAACUGCCCGAUGGAGGGGGAUAACUACUGGAAACGGUAGCUAAUACCGCAUACCAUCGGAUGUGCCCAGAUGGGAUUAGCUUGUAUGUGAGGUAAAGGCUCACCUAGGCGCCGAUGCCUAGCUGGUCUGAGAGGAUGACCAGCCAGCCUGGAACGGAGAAACGGUCCAGACUCGUCCGGGUGGCAGCAGUGGGGAAUUUGGCACAAGGGGCGCAAGCCUGAUGCAGCCGUGCCGCUUGUAUGAAGAAGGCUUGCGGGUUGGAAAGUACUUUAAGCGGGGAGGCGUUACCCGCAGAAGAAGCACCGGCUAACUCCGGGCCAGCAGCCGCGGUAAUUC